CCUACGGGAGGCUGCAGUGGGGAAUAUUGCACAAUGGGGGAAACCCUGCUGCAGCGACGCCGCGUGAGUGAAGAAGUAUCUCGGUACGUAAAGCUCUAUCAGCAGGGAAGACAAUGACGGUACCUGACUCAGAAGCCCCGGCUAACUACGUGCCAGCAGCCGCGGUAAUACGUAGGGGGCAAGCGUUAUCCGGAUUUACUGGGUGUAAAGGGAGCGUAGACGGCAGCACAAGUCUGGAGUGAAAGCCCGGGGCUUAACCCCGGCACUGCUUUGGAAACUGUGCGGCUGGAGUGCAGGAGGGGUAAGCGGAAUUCCUAGUGUAGCGGUGAAAUGCGUAGAUAGUAGGAGGAACACCGGUGGCGAAGGCGGCUUACUGGACUGUAACUGACGUUGAGGCUCGAAAGCGUGGGGAGCAAACAGGAUUAGAUACCCUGGUAGUC
RNAcentral lists this ribosomal RNA (440 nucleotides) under uncultured bacterium. RNAcentral describes it as "partial 16S ribosomal RNA". It matches the Rfam family "Bacterial small subunit ribosomal RNA", at positions 338 to 795 of the family's 1533-position model. The record is from RNAcentral.